AUUGAACGCUGGCGGCAGGCCUAACACAUGCAAGUCGCGCGAGCGGCGGACGGGUGAGUAAUGUCUGGGAAACUGCCUGAUGGAGGGGGAUAACUACUGGAAACGGUAGCUAAUACCGCAUACCAUCAGAUGUGCCCAGAUGGGAUUAGCUAGUAGGUGGGGUAAUGGCUCACCUAGGCGACGAUCCCUAGCUGGUCUGAGGUGAUGACCAGCCACAAUGGAACUGAGACACGGUCCAGACUCAUAAGGGAGGCAGCAGUGGGGAAUAGUGCACAAGGGGCGCAAGCCUGAUGCAGCCAUGCCGCGUGUAUGAAGAAGGCCUUCGGGUUGUAAAGUACUUUCAGCGGGGAGGCGUUACCCGCAGAAGAAGCACCGGCUAACUCCGUGCCAGCCGCCGCGGUAAUUC
This 406-nucleotide ribosomal RNA is filed under the name uncultured bacterium. RNAcentral's name for it is "partial 16S ribosomal RNA". It matches the Rfam family "Bacterial small subunit ribosomal RNA", at positions 30 to 526 of the family's 1533-position model. The record is from RNAcentral.